CACAUGCAAGUCGAACGAGAGAGAAGGAGCUUGCUUCUUCGAUCGAGUGGCGAACGGGUGAGUAACGCGUGAGGAACCUGCCUCAAAGAGGGGGACAACAGUUGGAAACGACUGCUAGUACCGCAUAAGCCCACGGGUCGGCAUCGACCUGAGGGAAAAGGAGUGAUCCGCUUUGAGAUGGCCUCGCGUCCGAUUAGCUAGUUGGUGAGGUAAUGGCCCACCAAGGCGACGAUCGGUAGCCGGACUGAGAGGUUGAACGGCCACAUUGGGACUGAGACACGGCCCAGACUCCUACGGGAGGCAGCAGUGGGGAAUAUUGCACAAUGGGGGAAACCCUGAUGCAGCGACGCCGCGUGGAGGAAGAAGGUCUUCGGAUUGUAAACUCCUGUUGUUGAGGAAGAUAAUGACGGUACUCAACAAGGAAGUGACGGCUAACUACGUGCCAGCAGCCGCGGUAAAACGUAGGUCACAAGCGUUGUCCGGAAUUACUGGGUGUAAAGGGAGCGCAGGCGGGAAGACAAGUUGGAAGUGAAAUCUAUGGGCUCAACCCAUAAACUGCUUUCAAAACUGUUUUUCUUGAGUAGUGCAGAGGUAGGCGGAAUUCCCGGUGUAGCGGUGGAAUGCGUAGAUAUCGGGAGGAACACCAGUGGCGAAGGCGGCCUACUGGGCACCAACUGACGCUGAGGCUCGAAAGUGUGGGUAGCAAACAGGAUUAGAUACCCUGGUAGUCCACACCGUAAACGAUGAUUACUAGGUGUUGGAGGAUUGACCCCUUCAGUGCCGCAGUUAACACAAUAAGUAAUCCACCUGGGGAGUACGACCGCAAGGUUGAAACUCAAAGGAAUUGACGGG
This 852-nucleotide ribosomal RNA is filed under the name uncultured bacterium. RNAcentral's name for it is "bacterial SSU rRNA". It matches the Rfam family "Bacterial small subunit ribosomal RNA", at positions 52 to 917 of the family's 1533-position model. The record is from RNAcentral.